GAUCCUGGCUCAGGAUGAACGCUAGCUACAGGCUUAACACAUGCAAGUCGAGGGGCAGCAUGGGGUAGCAAUACUCAGAUGGCGACCGGCGCACGGGUGAGUAACACGUAUCCAACCUGCCGCUUACUCGGGGAUAGCCUUUCGAAAGAAAGAUUAAUACCCGAUGGUAUAAAGAGUUCGCAUGUUCUCUUUAUUAAAGAAUUUCGGUAAGCGAUGGGGAUGCGUUCCAUUAGAUAGUUGGCGGGGUAACGGCCCACCAAGUCUACGAUGGAUAGGGGGUUCUGAGAGGAAGGUCCCCCACAUUGGAACUGAGACACGGUCCAAACUCCUACGGGAGGCAGCAGUGAGGAAUAUUGGUCAAUGGACGAGAGUCUGAACCAGCCAAAGUAGCGUGAAGGAUGACUGCCCUAUGGGUUGUAAACUUCUUUUAUAAGGGAAUAAAGUGAGGGACGUGUCCCUUUUUGUAUGUACCUUAUGAAUAAGGAUCGGCUAACUCCGUGCCAGCCGCCGC
Molecule: ribosomal RNA, 511 nt
Filed under: uncultured bacterium
Lineage: Bacteria
Description: bacterial SSU rRNA
Rfam family: Bacterial small subunit ribosomal RNA
Source: RNAcentral